GGGUCAGUAGGUUGGUCGUGCCACCGGUACGUACUGGUCUCACUGAUUCCUCCUUCCUGAAGAACCGUAAUGCCAUUAAUUUGGUGUUGCGGGGAAACAGGACUGUUACUUUGAAAGAAUUAGAGUGUUUAAAGCAAGCUAACGCUUGUAUACAUUAGCAUGGAAUAAUGAAAUAGGACGAUCGAUCCUAUUUUGUUGGUUUCUAGGAUUGACGUA
RNAcentral lists this ribosomal RNA (216 nucleotides) under Glomeromycotina sp. RNAcentral describes it as "partial small subunit ribosomal RNA". The stretch from base 40 to 216 matches the Rfam family "Eukaryotic small subunit ribosomal RNA", at positions 686 to 864 of the family's 1831-position model. Lineage: Eukaryota; Fungi; Glomeromycota. The record is from RNAcentral.